This 634-nucleotide ribosomal RNA is filed under the name uncultured fungus. RNAcentral describes it as "eukaryotic LSU rRNA". The stretch from base 198 to 351 matches the Rfam family "5.8S ribosomal RNA". The record is from RNAcentral. Lineage: Eukaryota; Fungi.
GNCGUAACAAGGUUUCCGUAGGUGAACCUGCGGAAGGAUCAUUAAUGAAUAUAAAUCGUACUGUUCACGCAGUAUGUGGGGUGGUGACUUCGGUCCCGCUCAUUCAUAUCCAUAACACCUGUGCACUGUUGGAUGCUUGCAUCCACUUUUAAACUAAACAUUAUUGUAACAAAUGUAGUCUUAUUAUAACAUAAUAAAACUUUCAACAACGGAUCUCUUGGCUCUCGCAUCGAUGAAGAACGCAGCGAAAUGCGAUAAGUAAUGUGAAUUGCAGAAUUCAGUGAAUCAUCGAAUCUUUGAACGCACCUUGCGCUCCUUGGUAUUCCGAGGAGCAUGCCUGUUUGAGUGUCAUGAAACCCUCAAACCCAAGUUUUGGAUUUCGGUCCAUGCUUGAGUUUGGAUUUGGACGUUUGCCGGUGAUGAACCGACUCGUCUUAAAAGUAUUAGCUGGAUCUGUCUAUAUGACUGGUUUGACUGGCAUAAUAAGUAUUUUGCUGAGGACAUCUUCGGAUGGCCAGGACCUAGACUAUUGUCUGCUAACUAAACCAUCACUUUAAGUGCAUCUUUGGAUGUUACUAAUUGUGUAACUUUGACAUCUGGCCUCAAAUCAGGUAGGACUACCCGCUGAACUUAA